RNAcentral lists this ribosomal RNA (274 nucleotides) under uncultured bacterium. RNAcentral's name for it is "partial 16S ribosomal RNA". It matches the Rfam family "Bacterial small subunit ribosomal RNA", at positions 523 to 796 of the family's 1533-position model. The record is from RNAcentral.
AUACGGAGGGUCCAAGCGUUAUCCGGAAUCAUUGGGUUUAAAGGGUCCGCAGGCGGUCAAUUAAGUCAGAGAUGAAAGCCCAUCGCUCAACGAUGGAACUGCCUUUGAUACUGGUUGACUUGAGUUAUACGGAAGUAGAUAGAAUAAGUAGUGUAGCGGUGAAAUGCAUAGAUAUUACUUAGAAUACCGAUUGCGAAGGCAGUCUACUACGUAUAUACUGACGCUGAGGGACGAAAGCGUGGGGAGCGAACAGGAUUAGAAACCCCAGUAGUCC